Molecule: long non-coding RNA, 332 nt
Filed under: Parus major (Great Tit)
Lineage: Eukaryota; Metazoa; Chordata; Aves; Passeriformes; Paridae
Description: lncRNA (ENSPMJG00000000951.1)
Source: RNAcentral
UUGCUUUUUUCAAGCCUUUGCUCUGGACACAGAGGGGAGCUGAGUGCUGCUUUGGGGAGGUUUCUUUGCUGUGCUGAUUUUACCUUUGCUGAUUCUCUCAAUGUUUUGCUCUAAGCUUGAUCUGCUCCCAGAGGUCCUGGAAGUAAAACCAGACCCAUAUUCCAGGCCAGAGCUGGAGGAACCCUGGGCUUUGUUGCUUUGAGAAGGGCCAUUCUUUAAUGGAAAUGUCUGAUCUCGCUACAGAAGAAAGAAUCAGAGUUUUGAAAAUGAGGAUUUCUGCAGGAUGGAAAUUCCUGGUGUCUGUCCUUUCACAAAACUGCUGUGAAUUUUGA